Molecule: ribosomal RNA, 414 nt
Filed under: Acanthoscelides obtectus
Lineage: Eukaryota; Metazoa; Arthropoda; Insecta; Coleoptera; Chrysomelidae
Description: partial small subunit ribosomal RNA
Source: RNAcentral
CUAGGGAUAGAUAACCUAUUAUUAAAAAUGUAAAUUUUUUUACUUAAUUAGUAUUAGUUAUGUUCUUGAAAAUUAAAAAAUUUGGCGGUAUUUUAGUCUUUUCAGAGGAACCUGUUCUAUAAUCGAUAGUCCACGAUUAGAUGCACUUUAUUUAUUAGUUUAUAUAUCGUCGUAGUUUAAAUAUUUUAAUAGAAUUAUAAAUAUUUAAAAUUUUUUAUUAAAAAAUAAAUCAGAUCAAGGUGUAGUUUAUAAUAAAGAAGAAAUGGGUUACAAUAAAUUUAUUUUAAAAUAAUUUUUGUUAAAAAAAUUUGAAUUUGGAUUUGAGAGUAAUUUUUUAGAUUUUUUUAAGAUGAUUAAAGCUCUAAAAUAUGUACAUAUCGCCCGUCGCUUUCAUUUUAAAAUGAAAUAAGUCUA